RNAcentral lists this long non-coding RNA (40713 nucleotides) under Sorghum bicolor (sorghum). RNAcentral's name for it is "long non-coding RNA (SBIC_LNC002283)". Lineage: Eukaryota; Viridiplantae; Streptophyta; Magnoliopsida; Poales; Poaceae. The record is from RNAcentral.
UCUUUUUAUUAUUUGAGUAAAGUAUAAAUGCGAGUAGAAACACUUAGCUGGAUAAAUGGGGGUGCUUUCCCCCAAGCUGGAUUUUGACGUAAUUUCUUCUGAUGUAGCUAGCAGGUGGCGGAGGUGUAUUUGAAUGUCGGCAGUACCCUGAUAGCGAUUAGGAUGUCCUCCGUCUGCUAGUCUUCUUUGAUCCUUAAAUUCUGUGGAGCUCAAAUAGACAACAAAGCUUUGUGGAACUGGUUAAGUGUUAGCAUAAAAAUAUCUUUGCCUUUAUCAUGUUGAGCUUUCUCUAAUAAAUAUUACUCUCUUUGGUAGGAUCAUAAAUUUAUUUAUAUUUUCAUUUCUAUAGGACAGGAAUAUAUUUAUUUUGUUUUUACGCUACCACAGUGAAUGUACUUAUGGCUUUUAUGCCACGAGCAUACUCACAUGGGGCUUACUGUUUUUAACAUUUUUAUUUUAUUUUCAAGAUAGCAUGAUUAACUAACAAGCCAUUUAAGGAAAGUAAAUAAUUAAAGGGAAAAGGGAAUGUAGAAAGGAUAAAUAUGGAUAAUUACCGAUUUUAGCUUUCGGCGAGGGUUCAAUGUUUUAAGUCUUCUGAACAAGACUUCUCACUGUGUUCAUUCUUUAGGUGUGUCAUUUGGUUCAGGUGUGGACCUUGACGUCUGCACCUCUUGAUACUGUGUCACCCAUGUUCUUUGUUUGCCCAGCAGUUCAAAGUGCGGCGUUGGCAGUACCUUGCUCAAUGUGUUUGUGCUUGUAGAUCCAGGUCCUUCACUUGGUAGAGUCUGGGAGUUGAAAAAUCCCCCGUGUUUCUCAAAAUGUGUCCUGUUCAUAGAGACAAGGUAGAGAUCAAGUGCAUGGGUCAUGUUGGUGGAAAACACCAACAGAACCAAAAGUAUAUUUGUUCUUCUCUAACCUUAAGCAUAGUGAGCAAGACAAAUUUGAUAGAUAAUAAGAUCAUGAGUGUAGUAUUUAAAACAUUUGUCAGAUCAGAUCGCUCAACCUAAUGGAAAGAUAAUCUAUCUAUAUUUAUGUUUUUUUAUAUAUCUUCCAAAGAUUGAGUGUGCAGCAUUUUAGCUCAUAUGAUUAGGAGUGUGGGAUCAUGGAGGUAGUACUAGGAACAUAGACUAAAGGACUAAACAUGUUGAAUCAGUUGGGUUGGUUAAUUUGGAUUUAUAAAUCAUACAUGUUUGUCUCUUUAUGUGAACGCCAGAACCAAGGAGAAGCUUAUAAAAGUGAUAGUCAAGUACCUUAAGAUGUUACCUUACUUGAAGAGUGAUGGUACAUUAUCACCUUGUGGAAGCUUCCUGUCUUUGCAGUUGUGCAUCAAGUUCGUGGCACCCUCCAUGGAUCAUCUCUUAUGAGCUACGUCUUCCUUGUGUAAAUUGUUAAACUUGAUGUGUCUCUCUUUUUGUCUCCAAUGUGAGUUUAUCUCAGGACUUCCCAAAUCGAUAUUGAAAGUUUUUCUGGAGGGGUUAGUCCAACAAAAUAUACCAAUGUCUACACAAGCAGUUUUUUAGUUCAGUAACCAAACUAGACUCCAUGUCUAAUCAGAUUAAGGAAGGCUAUUUAACCUAAGCACCACGCUUAAUUUAAAUGCCAAUGGAAGUAUGUCGAGUACUUCCAAACCAACACUUACUUGUGAGUAGACAAAGGUAGCAUGACAACAUUAUAGAGAUCUACUCAAGUGGAGAUGAAAAUAGAAUGAUUAGCGUCUAACAAAUUGAGCAUGUCUCAAAGGUAGGGACAACCAACAUAGCAAUAUGACAAAGGAUGUUUUUAUGUAAGGUACUCCCCCAAGCUUAAAUUUUGCAAAAUUCAAGUUUGGAUGAAUUUAAUUCAGUGUUGCAUAAUGAUUGGUCGGACAUACCUUGUGCUUGUCGUUCAUCCGAUCUUCUUGCUCCAAUCCUGUAAAGGUUAGUGACAAGAAUACCCGAAGGAAUAUUUUCACAAUUAUCGUUAUACGCUCAAUGCACAAGGCAAUAUGGCAAGGUCGUGUUACGAUCUGAUAAGCGCUUAUUUUAGGACACUAAGCUUGUCCUUGGGAACCCAUCAGUUUAUGUUGGCGAAGUGGUUUCCCCUCCGAUGCCAACCUUUGUAUAUUAAGAUUAGCUCAACGAGAUCUGCAAUAUUUAUUAUAGACAUAUGCAUCGACAACCGCCCUUUUAAAGUUUUGUAAAUAGAAAAGAAGAGGGGGUUGGAGAUGUCAAAUGUGGUGAUGUUGGAGAGACCAAUAGAUUGGGAAGAUGUUGCAUAUGAGCAUGGAGUAAACGAAGUGGCUAUGAAAUAAAUUCCAUGCUCAUUAAUAUUAUCUUCGUCUCCAAUCUGAAUGUUCGGAGUUUCUCCUGGAUUGGUCUCACCUAUGUCCUCCUCUAUAGUUGGAUGAAUCUCAUCUUCAAAGGGAGUCAAGAACUCACCAUUUGAAAUUGAGCCAAAGUCAGAAUCCGUUAAGGCUUCUUCCUUAUCCAUCCAUUCUACACAUUCGAGCCAUUUAGAACUUGUGAUCAAGACAGGGGAGCUGAUAGAACCUUCUAUAUGGCUUAGCUCUCCUUCUAUGGCAUUACUUGACAUGUCAUCCUCAUGGUCUUUAUGACUCCUAUGGUUUGAUCGUCUUGAUGGAUUGUUAGGAUCAUCAUGAGACUUAAAAGGAGAGGGAUAAGAGGGGUCUCUAAGGUCAAGGAUGGAUUUAGAAUUUGUGAACAUGGAAGGGGAGCAGAUAGAAUCUUCUAUAUGGUUUAGCUCUCCUUCACUUGAUAUGUCAUCCUUGACUUCUUCAUAACAGGAACCAGGACAUUCUCUAAGAGAACCAUUAUUGCAAGGAUUUGAAUUAUCCCUGCUUGAAGGUCUCUUAUGGAACCAGAAGUCUAAACCAUCAGCAUCUGAAAGAUUUAAGGUCGGAAUUCCUUCCUCCCUUGGAGAAUUUUGGGGUAUUGAUGGUUUAGGAUCAAUAGCUAAAGUUUGGAAUUGAAGUGGUUGUGAUCUGGCCAUCGAAACUUCUUCUUCUUGUCUAGGAACUGGUUCUUUCUCUUUCUUAGGGAUAUAAAUGCUAGGAAACUUUCCACUCAAUGAAUCAAUUAAAUCUCUAGCUUCACUAGCAGGUAGGUGAUAGAAGGAUCCUCUAGAGGCUAUAUUCAAGGUUUCCUUAUUUUCCCUACUAAGAGCAUCUCCAAUAGUUAUGAAUAUGACUUGCCAUCCUUCAAAAUUUGGCAAAAGUAGAGAAAAUCAAUAUCCAAUAGUUUGCCAAAGGGACUUGCCAAAAUUGUGAGUUUGCCAAAUCGUGGUGCCGCGCGCGUAUAGUUGCGCACGCGAAUCAAAGUUGCCAUCGCGAGUCUGCGGCCGCGUUUUCUUCUCCCGCGCGGUGACUGAAAAAUCCGAUCGUGUUCCCGCUUGAGUCCGCGCCUCCGUCAAUAUACUGCAUCCGUCGCCGCGGAUCACUCCGUCUCUCCCUCGCCCCAGUCCGGUUCGUUGUCGUGCCCAGGUCCGCUUCGGUGUCGCGCCCAGGUCUCCAUCGACCAAGUCGAGUGAUCCGUCGUCGCGCACAGGUCUCCGUCGCCCAAGUCCGGUGAUCCGUCGUCGUGCCCAAGUCUGCUCGGACGUCGCGCGCAAGUCCGCUAGUUCGUCGCGCCCAAGUCCAGUUCAUCGUAGACCUGGACGUGAUUUCGCGCGCUACCUUCCUCGACGACGCGAGCUGGUGUUGAGGUUCGUGCCCCCUCUUGAACCUAGGGUUUCAACCAUGUUGUUCUUGUGAUAGUUUGAUCGGAUAGGGUUCAGUAAUAUAUGUAUAUAGUUCCCUUGAUCGGAUAGGGUUUCUGAUCUUGUGAUUGUUAUAUACUUUAUCUGGGUGGAUGACAAUUGUUUACUACAUACAUGAUACCUGAGUAUUGACUAUUGAGUCAGCAGUACAUACCAAAACAGAUUACCGCUGCUUUCAAUUACCUGAGUAUUGAGUAUAGAUUAGUUGCCUGCCAAUGAUGCUUGCUUAUGAUUGAUUGUAUAUUGUUUAUAUGUUCGAUGUUGUUUGCUGAUGGUCGAUCAUACAGUAUGUUGCUGCUCAAUAUAUCUUUUCAAUUAUAUUGUUUACAUUUGUUUAGACUGAUGGAGAUGGAUGGAGAAGGUUUCUUGUCGGGCAUUCUUAUGAGUGGGCAAGACGGCCAUGUUGCUGGUUUGGACGACCUCACCUUUCCAAUCUCUCCAGAUACAAAUACACAGUCUAGUCCAGAUGUUGAUGUUGAAGUUGUGCCUCCAAGUCGUGCUAGCAAGGGUAACAAGGGUACUAGGCGGUCCAAGAAUUUUCAUUUCAAGGAAGAUGAAGUUGUUUGUUCAGCCUGGUUGAACGCUAGUAAAGACUCCCUCCACGGGGCCAACCAAAAUCGUAACACUUUUUGGGGUCGAGUUCAUGCUUUUUUUGAGAAGAACAAAAAAACUAAUAUUGUGCGGACAGAGAGUUCGAUUAUGCAUCGAUGGUUCACAAUUCAGCAUCAAGUGAACAAAUUUUGUGGAUGCUAUGAGGCAAUUAAACGCAGGCAUCAAAGCGGACAUACUGUCACAGACAUGGUAAGUGUCAUGUUUUUAAUCCUUUACCAUAAUUUUUUUAUUUGAGACUGAUACAUAAAAUGCUACGUUGUUCUAUAGAUUUCAGAAGCAAUGAAGCUGUACAUAGAUGAAGACAAGGACAAAAAGAAAUUCACUCUUAUGCCUUGUUGGAACAUACUAAAGGGGGAGGACAAGUGGGCAGCCCGGAUGGUAGAGAUUGCUGAGGUAGAGAAACUGGAAAAAGCCAAAAAGAAUCAAAAGGCGACAAAAGUGUCAAGGCCAAGGGAUGAAGAAGGCACCAACACUGAAAAAGCAGUCACAGAUGAUGUUGGGGAAGAAACAUAAGCUAGAAAAAGGUCAGAUGGAAUUAAGAAGGUCAAAGCAAAUCUUAGGGGAGGGAGUGGAGAAGCAUGCAUGGAGGUGAUAGAGAAGAUGUGGGCAAAGAAGGAGGAGUCUGAUAAGGAAAAAGAAAAGGCAAGACAUGAGAGGUUUGUGGCUGCACUAGACGUAGACAAGGAAGCUCUAGCGCUAGAGAAAAUAAGAGCUGAUGCUGAUCUCAAGAGAGCUGACGCAGAACAGAAGAGAGCUGAAGCGGAGUUGCUGAAACAAGAGAAAGAUAUUAUGUUGGCGAGCAACAAUGACCUAAACUCGGCGCAGCUUCAAUGGCUUCAGAUGAUGCAGAACGAGAUUUUUGCAAAGCGCCUUGGAAAUCAAGUGUAGUGGACGGCAAAUCAAGUUUAAUGUUCCUGUCAUUUUAGAUAAUGCAUUUUUAAAGUUUUUUAACGAACAAAGUUACUGUCAUUUUAGUUCUUUAUCAAAUCAACAUUUAUUUUACUUUAUUCGUCAAACAAUGUUACUUGCAUGGUACUGUAGUUGGAGCGCAUGAACAAAACAAGGUCUUUGGUUUCUGUGCUUUACUUUAUUCUAUCAAUCAUCUCUAAAUGUUCCUAGAACUUGUAUCUAUUUCGCUAGACUUUUUUUAUUCAGUCAGCCAGUGCAGGUCUAAAGGUUUUUUUAUUCUGUGCUCUGCUUCUAUCGAUCGACAGUAGGCUACAGUGCCAUGCAUGAUGACGUCGAUCAUGAAUAAAAAUGUAUAGAUAAUACAAAUGUGUUUAUUACAUAAAGUAUAUGAAAUAUGAUUUCAUAUAUUGUAGGAGUAUAAAUCUGGAUGAUUGUUCCACAGGUGUUCGAUAAGAUCUUCCUUCAAGUGCACAUGUGUGGACUUGUCUCUGAUCUGUCUAUGCGCUUCAAUGUAUUCUUCAAGUGUACGAUGGGGUUGACCACGAUCAGGCUCGACAUUGUCACCACUGUAAUCAAAACGCUCGUUUGGGUCGACCACAAAUCCUUCAUCUUCUACAAUCAUGUUGUGCAUGAUGAUAGAAUCCCUCAUGAUUAGUGCCAAAGUCUCACUGUCCCAAGGGCGUGCGGGUCCUCGAAUAAUGGCGAAUCUUGAUUGAAGAACCCCAAAAGCUCUCUCGACCAUCUUCCUCGCUGCUUCUUGCGCUUUGGCAAAAUAUUGCCUCUUGUUCCCCAUAGGUAGAGUGAUGGACUUGACUAAAGUAGCCCAUGAGGGGUAUAUACCAUCUGCAAGGUAAUAACCCAUUGUGUAGUCAUGGCCGUUAACGGAAAACUUGACUUCUGGAGCUUUACCUUUGGCCAAGUUAUCAAACAAGGGAGAUCUAUCAAGAACAUUGAUGUCAUUGUGAGACCCGGGCAUUCCAAAGAAGGCAUGCCAUAUCCAAAGGUCUUCAGAAGCAACAGCCUCUAAAAUGAUUGUGGGCUUGUCACAAUGCCCCUUGAACUGACCCUGUUUGUCAUAUGGACAGUUCUUCCACGUCCAAUGCAUACAAUCAAUAGACCCUAGCAUUCCUGGAAAUCCCUUUUUCUCACCCAUUGCAAGUAAGCGUGCUAUGUCCGCCUCAUUUGGAUACCUGAGGUAUUCAUCACCAAAAACUUCAAUAACUGCCCGAACAAACUUACGCAGGCUCUCAAGUGCAGUACUUUCGCCAAUGCGAACGUACUCAUCUGUCGCAUCAGCUGGAACCCCAUAGGUGAGCAUACGCAUUGCGGCAGUGACUUUUUGGAAGCAACUCAACCCAAGAACAUUGGCUGCAUUUCUUUUCUGAACAAAAUAAUCAUCAUGCUCUUCUACAGCAUUCAUUAUGCGUUUGAAAAGCUCCCUAGACAUCCUGUACCUGAAGAAGACAACUUAAGAUUAAUAACUAAAAUAAAUUUUUAGCAUGUGAAACAAAUUCAUGCAAAUUUAAGAUCAAUAACCUUCGACGGAACAUUUCAGAGGUGUAUGUUGGAUUGUCCGAUAAAUAAUCUUGGUACAUCCUGUUGUGGCCGCCCUCUCUAUCACGGUACAAAACUCUAUGACCUUUGACAGAUCCACCAUGUCUUCCUUUUUCAUUGGAGAAGCUUUGCACAAUUUGAGCAGUCGCUAAUAUUUGGGAUUCAUCGUCAUCGGAUGAUGACUCCUCCAAUACUCUUCGCGCACAGGAUCUUUUCCUAGGCAUGAGAUUCCUGAUCACGAGUACAGAGGAUGAAGAACAAAACCUAGAUUAUCUAAACCCUAGACUGCUGAUGGUCGAGAGGGGCAAGGAGAUGGAGUAUUGGCAGCGUACCUCACCUGCGAUGGAAGAUUACAAAGGGCAAGGACGAUCCUGUCGUAGGCCGCGACACGAUCACAGUCGCAUACGGGCACCUGCGAUGGUCGAUGGAGUCUUGGCGGCGUACGACUGCAGUAGCGGACGGAAACCACGAUCACGCGAUGAAGAUAAGGACACGUCGGUGGAGUACCGGUCAACAACCGGACCUGCUGGGCCCUCCUCUUUUUUUUGAUUUGGCAACUAAAAAUAGGGAAUUGUUGGAGAUGACCUCUUUUGAACUUGGUAAAUUAUUAUAGCAACUUGCUAAAAGACAACAUUUGGCAAUUCACAUAUUCAUAACUGUUGGAGAUGCUCUAAGGCCCUCAAAAAAGUGAAUUAGAAGAACUUCUUCUGGAAUAGAAAGCUUUGGGCCAGUGAGAGUAAGGUUAAUAAAGCGGUCCCAUGAUUUGCCAAGAGAUUCUUCUUCCAGUUGUCUAAAUAAAAUAAUCUCACGCCGAAGUUCCACCACUUUGGAGAUUGGAAAAUAUUUUAAAAGAAAACUAUUAUAUAACUCCUUCCAAUCUCCAUGAACACUCCCUACUUUGAGUUUGUACCAAUGUCUAGCUUUUCCUGUUAAAGAGAACGGAAAGAGCUUCCAUUUAAGGGUCUCAUCGGACAUGCCUUCUAUGCGAAGGAGGUCACAGACUCGAUAAAACUCUCUUAGGUGUGUAAGGGUUUUCUUCACCUUCUCCUGAGAAAGGUUGUUUUUGAACAAAUUCUAUGUAUUCCGGGUCUAUCUCAAAACUAGAUGCUAUGGUAGGCUUUGAAGAUUUUGGUGGUUCGAGAUGUGUGCCCGUAGGUCUAUGAAAUUUAUAGAUAGACAUGUUUGAAUUCAUGAUAGACUAGAGAUCAAGGAUUAGAUAAGAAGAAAGAAUAGCAGAGAUAAGGUAAAAGAUAAAAGGAAAAAUAUAUUUUAUUUUUUUAUAUUUUUUAUAUUAUUUUUUAGAAAAUGAUUAAGCUAGUUCGUAGUCAACUCAGCAACCGUUUCCCCGGCAACGGCGCCAAAAAUGCUUGUUGACACUUGCUAACACCACUUGAAUACUAGGUUGUCAUCCCCAGCAUGGCACUAGAGUGUACUUUAUACGCACACAGAUAAAUCCGCAAGCGCACGGAUACCGUUGUAGCUUUUACCCGGUUAAAGGUUUUAUCGUAUCCAUGGGGAAACGGGAGAACUGAUCUAUGCUCUAACUUAACCUAGAUAGAUAGGUAGGUGUAAAUAGGAAAGAUGGUAGAAUUGAAUAAGAACAAUAUUAAAGGUAUGAUUACAAUGGGUGAUAAUAUGGGAAUAGAGAGUAGAGCAAUCUAGUAUAUGGGCGAUGGUAGGAGAAUAGAGAGGAUAACUAUGGUUUCUCUACUUCAAAGGGGUAUGUCUAUGUCUGGGACGAACCACGUGACAAGAAUACACCACAAAUGAUGCUUAUCCAUAGGCCGAUAAACUCUACCAGUCCUGCUAACAGGAGGUGGACUAUAGGGGACCAACGUAACUGUCACCUACGCGGCCUACCACACGAUCCGGCUAGACAGGGGAUAUCCACAAGUAAUGUAGGCCUAAGCACCAUGCUUACACCUAUACUACAACCCUCACCUAUAGUGUCCUAUAGAUUAAAGUACUCAAAAGAGUUGUGAACCAGAACAUACAUGGAUAGUAAUUGCAUAAUGAAAUAGAAGUAGAUUACCAGAGUCAUCCCAUGAGCAAGCUUGAUUAGAGCUUGAUCAUCGCGAAGUACAACCGGAGAAGAACCGACAGGCCGGCCUCUCCUCCAAUCCUCCCUCGCUCUCCGUCUCACUACUAUCUAGAUCUACUCUAGUUUAGAGAAGAGAGGAGAGCUCUCAUCUCCAAACCCUAGCUUUUUCUCUGUCUAUGAAUAAUGAAUAGGGAUCAAGGGGUGCCUCCUCUAGGGGCCAGGGGCCUGCUUAUAUAGUCCCCUCAAGUGAAUCUGGGCCGUCGGAUCAAACCGACAUUGAUUGAACGGUUCUCCUUGAUCCUUUAGGUCGGUGGAGCAUAAUCCGCGAGACGGAGCGUGAUUGGUGGACUAAGUAGGGCGGGCGCCCUAAGGGGUAGGGCGACGCCCUGUCCCCGAGCCUGCUCGGCUUCCCAUUCGUUCCCGUGGCUUCUGGAGUCUUCUAGAUGAUAGAAAAUUGCACGACACGUUAAUAUCUCUAUGUAAACCCGACGUGUGGGCCUUUCCUCCAUAUUUCCUGAUAACCCCCUGCAGAAAUAGACAAACACCAAAACUCGUGGAAUUCUGUCUGAUAAAACCCUAAGUCUGGGUGUUGGUUGUAUUUGGAUCCUUUUCUUUAUUUAUUUGAUGAUUAUAUUUGGUACUUAAGGACCGUCAACAGUAUCUAAGUUAUAAUUUAGUGUUCAUCAAGAUUUAAGUUUGUUGGCUAAAAAUGUCUCAUUCUGAGAACUUGAAAUCUUGUGGGUUGCAAAUGCAUGAUCCUUUUCUAAAUUGUUGCGAGACAUGAUAUGGUAUAAAUAGAUUUUGCUAUGACUUUGUUCUAAGAGAAACUUGACAUCCGGAGUUUUCUUUUCAAAAAUUCAAAACAAAGAGUUCCUCAAAGAUUAUGAAAUACCUACCAAGGUCGUAUGACUUGCUUAGUAGUUUGUACACCUUUAGUCCUUUGCGGCUUGCGAUGCUUUGAGUUGAGUCAAAUCCCAGGUAUGCUAGAUUGAGAUUAUGGUCAUGCACCCAUGAUAUGAGAUUCACGCACCCACCAAAUAAAGCCGACUCUUACACUAAGAAGUUGCGCACAACAUGCACCCUUCCAUCCACCAAAAAUAUGCCAACUCUUACCCUGAGAGUUGCGCCUUAGCUUCCACCAAAUAAGUAUGCCAAACUCUCACCCUAAGGUUUGCGCAUCCCCAUAUACAAUUUUACUCCUUACAUCACCAUCAUGACAUCUCUCCAUUUUCCUCUUUGAGAUCCCUUUGAAACAUGUGGGCAUCAGUUAUCCAUGAAAAAAAAUAUGAAGGAAAAGCCAAAGGGCAUGGACGGGAAAAUCAAAAUCCCCGUCAGAAAAAAAAUAUAUAUGAUCCAUUUUUUAGGGCCCAUAUGUUUACAUUCUCUCAUUCUCUUCCUCAAAUAAAGAGAGUCAUGAUACAAGGAGUAACCAAAAAUAUUUAGAUAGGACUACCACCAAAAGUUCCACACACUUGCACAUCUCAAUCAAGGUGUAUGACUUGUACCUCCUCAUGGUCCGGGCUUUGACUUGGCAACACAAGCGUCGUAAGUACGCCCACCUUUAUACCUUCCCAAAGCUCCAUUCUCAGCCUUAGUGGUAGGUCUUAAAGGCAAACACAAAUGCCUUUGGUGAGGAUUUCAUACACAUUGAGCGAUCGAGAGAAUCAUUCGAGGAACAUAUUUAUUUUGUAAAAAAUUAUAAAACCUCUAGAUUGAUGGUCUAUCAAGGGAUGAAUGAAUGGUGAGUUUGUUACAACCAUUCUAUCUUGCAACCACCCAAGAACUUGGAAAAGCUAUAAGCCCCAUGAGAAGUCAAGGUAAAGAGUGGAUAGCAUGCCAACUUAUUUAAAUUGCGAAUGAAUGCUUUGUUAUAGGUAUGAUACUCUUGAAUUAUAUCGACAUAGUAGCAACUCCUGAUCAACAGCCAUACUUAAUUAUUUGCUCGAGACGAGCAAAGGUUAAGCUUGGGGGACUUGUUGGCAGUCAUUAUAGACCAAUUAUAAACUACCAACUUGAUCCAAAAGGAGAAGAAACAAUCAUAUUAUAUACACACAUGCAUUUUAUUACUAACAAGUUCCACUUGUACCAUAGUGAUUAUAUUUUGCAAGAAUUAUAGUGCAACAAGUGAAAAUGUGCCAUACCACGAAGAAAGCGCAAAGUACCAAAAGGCGUAUUCAGAAAUGCGCAAACCAAGAAAAUAGAGAAAGGCCCAAACAACGCAGAACUGGGCCUGAUCGUAAUCACGGGAGAGAUCCAGGCCGAGAGCCAAACCAACCAUGUGAAGGCGGUGGCCAGGGGGACCCACCCAGGGUGCGGCCGCACCCCUGGAGGCGGCAAACCGAGCCCAUCUUUCUCAGGCGGUUGCAUGCUGCCAUGCAUAGGACGGUUUCACCUACUACCAAAUUUAGAUGCGACGAACCGUCCUAGUUCUACUAGAGAAAGAGAGGCACUCCCCCCCUUUUCAACACACACAUCAUUUGGAGUCAAUUUACCUCACACCUCUCACUUGUAUCUUUAGUCUAGAUUAGUAGUAGAGCAAGGCAAGAGCUAGUAAGGAGAGCUUGUCUCCUUGGAAGAAAGGAUCUUCUUGGUAUGAAUAAUAUUCAAUCUUCUUCCAUGAGCAAGUUCUAUUCAUCUUUAUAUAAUUAUGCAUAUGAACUAGAGUACGGUUGUGUUCUUAUCAUGUUCAUAGUAUAUGAACUAGUUCUUAGUUCUUGUGCUAUGUUCUUGAUAUGUUCAUCAUUGUUCUUCAUUGUUCAUCAGAUUAAUAUGAUUAGGAUUAGAAUUAGGAAUUGGAUGAUGGUUCACUGUGCUGUGAUGGUUGCUCUUAGCCUAGCCUGUCAUUUCGAAGGGGUGGGGCCCGCGGGGGUUAGGAGUUGUUUCCAAUUACAUGAACAUGGUGUUCAGGUAUGCGGGAAUCAGUGGAUGUGCGGGUAUCUUUCGGGUAGAGGGGUAGGUGGCAGGGUAGUGACAGCUCUGUCAUCAUUUGCAUUCCCCCACGAUCAGGUAUUUCGAUAGGAGUUCUGUAAAGUCUCUAUCGGCUGGGUAUCCAGCUGCGGGGAUCUCCCCUCAUCUUAGGCUUAGUUCUAACUCUAUUUAUUGCUAAUUAGAUGAUCCACUAACAGUUCUAUGCAUAGUUAUAUGUGACCCAUGCCUGCUCAAGUAGAUUUAUUUCUUUAUUCUUUAUUUAUUAUUUCUCUUCUAUUUUAUCCUUGAGGUUGAUCCAAUGUGUGUCCACUAUCUUGAAUAUCAUGUUUAUUCCUCUUUACUCAAUGUCUACCAAGCAUUCAAUAAGUAAUCAUGUUUACACCAUGUUUGAUCCCUUUGCCUUCCUACGGGAAUUAUAAAUUCGACACCCUUGAAUACUCAUGGGUUGAAAUGCUACAAUGAUAGUUCUGUCCGCUUGCAGUUAUAUUACUUCUUCAUUCAUGAACUAUCGAUUGGCAUACCUAAGUACCGUUACUUAAGAUUGUAAUCCUUGCGCACUUUCAAGCGUAGUGCCACAGCUUUGCAUAUCGCAAGUAAGGAUAGUUAGGAUGACCAAUCCGACAUUCCUAAUUAUUGUUACCAGAAUGCAGUGCUAAGGCCGGCGCCCUCUAGUUGCCUUGGGUUAUCUCUCUGAUGUAGCGAUAGUUACGGUAUGCCACACCCGACAUUUCUGGUGCCAUUGCUAAGGAUGGAUCUAUGGUCUAUUUUUAGUAGUGACGCUAAGAAAUGCCAACAGUCAUCAUGUAUGCUCAUAUCGUACAAAUACUUUUAUAUGUGAAUUGAUUGAUCACCACUAUCCCGUCUCAAAUGGACUUUUUAGUGAAUGAAUCUUAGCCUUUUUAAUGAGUCAUCAUAUCAUGCUCGUAUCGUACAAAUACUUUUAUAGGUGAAUUGAUUGAUCACCAUUAUCCCCAUUACAACGGCUACUAUAUCUCAGGCCGCCUAUAAAUAUGCAGUGGUGAAUAUUUUGCUACCCACUUCAAACAAGUAUUUGGUUUUGUUGGAGUAGAAAUGUCUGUCGGGUCGUCUAGAGUAACGGGAUCAGGGGGUGGGAAAGAAAAAGGGGGGAUGAGGGAAACUCCAGUUAUGUGGGAGGGUUCUCGUGGUCCCGAGAUCGUUGAGGAAGCACUUUAUGAGAGGUUCCCAAUUGAGAGCAAAAGUGAAUUCACCAAAGAAGCACCACUGAGAGGAUAUAAUGACCGCAAAGAAGAGUGGCCAAAAUGCAUGCACGGUGAGGACUGCUUAGUGCAAAUGUACACUGGGGAAUAGAUGGAGGUCGUUGUUUCUUCAAAUGCCCAUGAGCAUGGGUAAAUGAAAUUAAUAUUUUUUGCUUUAUAAUGUUACCCUUUUGGACUAGAACUUAUACAACAUACUUAUUGUAGGCUUCCUAGUCUGAAAACUAUGGGUUUGAUCUAUUCAUCGCAUGCGGAGUACAUCUACUACCUGCAGGACCGUAUCUUUGAUUUAGAAAGGAAAGUUAGCAGUAGUUACAAGGAUGAAGAAGAGGAUGACAACAACAAUGGUGCCGAUUUAUAGGAUGCACUUUGCAAUGAUCCAUAUUGCACCUACCCUAAUCACAAGAAGGGUCCUCCUCCACCACCGCCACCCCACCACCAACAAUGGGAGGAUACUGUGGAGAAGGUGCGACAUAGUAUGCUAUGUGGCCACACUACUAGGUCAAAUCAAACUCAUUCACAGGCCACUUCUGUAUGUUUGUUGUUUGGUUAAACUACCUAAGGCAUGAUUGGGUUAGUCAAAAGAGCUAUGUACCCUUGUUUGGUACAUGUUCUCACAUGCCAUUUCAUGUGCUUGUUGUUGGCUUCAAUUACCUAAGGCAUGUUAGGUUUAGUCCAAGACCUCUGUACCCUUGUUUGGUACAUGUUUUGACAUGCCAUUUCAUAUGUUUUGUGCUAUGUGUAAUGUAGUCUGUUAGUUCGUAACAUUUCAUUUGCAUUACUUCAUUGCCUCUGCAAUAUUCGACUAAAUAUAAUGACAACUAAUAAUGAAACCAUACACACAAUGUGACAGGUCCAAUAACAUUUAAAAUACAUGACAACAAACUAAAUAACCCAUUCUUAAAGUGCAUUACAUGAUAACUGUAACACCCAAAAAUUUACAAAUUUUGAAAUAGGUGGAAAUGAUUUAAUUCUGUAUUUUUGUGUUCAUGGAAUAUAGAGAAAUAAUAUUUUUCAUCGAAUUAAAAUUUAUUAUAGGAUUUAGCAACUUGUUUGUGCAUUCAUUUUUGGGACAUUUGUUUUAUUGUUUGGUGUGGAUUUAACUAAAGAUCAAAACAUUUCGAACAGAUUUAAAAAGGAUUUUGAAAUGAGUUUGAAAUGGAUUUUAUAUAAAUGAAAACAAAACAAAAGAAAAAAAAGAGAAAAAAGGGAAACAUCUCCCUCCAUUUGUUUUUGGCUCGAGAGGCCCAACCAAAUUCCCUCGUCCCUCCUCUUCCCGUGCCCCCGCGCUCGGCCCAGUUUCCCGGCGGCCCAACUCCUCCCCAGCAGCGCGCUGACCUCCCCUCUCCCUUGACCUGCUGACAACCGGACCCCGCUCUCUCUCUCACUGACGAAUAGGUCCCACGCGAUAGCGUCCCUUUCCCCCUUUCCUUCUUCUCCCUCGCGUAGCCAAGCCGGAGACGAACUCCAUGGCAACCGAAUCCCAGUUUUCACGGCCAAUGUAGGAAAUUUCCAAUCCAAGCCUUUAUAAAGCCUUGUGCUUCAUCUGUGCUCUCCUGUUUGCAUCAUCAUGCGGCUGCGUUGCCCUAAUCAUCCUCCCAUCGCCUCUUGAAUCUCGCCGAAAAGCUUGCAGAGCCGCCGCAGUGGAGCCCCCAAUUCACUGCCGUGUCGGCAAAUUGAAGUAGGGUACGAGCUCUACAACGCUUCUACGAGGUCACCGAGCCCUCUCCUCCUUUAUCUUGUGCUCUCGUUUGCCCGCUGACCCUCGCUGAUCUUUACAGGACGCAAAGCUACGUCGCGACGUGUUGCGGCCCUCUUCCGAGCUCCUUCCCGACCCCAAAAAGCACUUGAGUGAGUUCGUGAAGCCCCCCUCUUUCUCCCGGUGAUUUUAUCUCGUUUUUAGAUGGCCGAAAUGGCUUAAACAUUGAAGCUCCGGAGAGCUCUGAACCCCCGGCCAUGGCGCGCCGCCGCGGGAGGCCCUGCUCCGGCCGGUGGUCUUCCCAGAUCUAAUCUGAGCCAUCCGAUCGAGAUCAUGUGGCCUAGAAUAGAAGUUACCCCCUUCAGGGUAACAUUUUCUAAAGAGACCUCGAGCUUCUGUUAAACAGUACCUGCAGUCCUUAGGCGUAAUUCAGAAAUACGUUUCCACCAUUUGAAAACGUAAAGUAUACCAGGUUAAUUCAAAAUACGCUUUCUAGUAUUUACAAGUUUGCCACUAAAACAGUUUUAGCCAUAAAAUCUUUGUUUUAAAUCCGUUUCGACCCAUUCAAAUUGCGUUGGAUUCGUAUUAGUGAGCUCUACAUGUUAGAAACACUGUUUUCUCAGUUUGAAACUUUUUAAUUUCAUGACUCUAUUUAAUUAAUUACUUUUCUAUAUAAAAUCUUAGAAAAUUCAUAUCUUCUACGUUUUAACUCCGAUUUUCGUGAUCUUUACGUCUAUGAAAUCGUAGCGAUGCGUAGAAUCAUUUUAUAAACUUCUAAUAUUGUUUUUAUAUGAUUGGAGUACUGUUCUAAUUGUAGCUUUGUUUGCUUAGUGUAUGUUUGUUGCCGUAUGUUUGUGAUCGAUGAUCGGAAUUAGUCGAUGAGCAAUUCGUGGUGAUUAAGAGUGCUUCAGUGAUCAAGAUCAGAGCCUUGGCAACUAGUAAGACCAGCAGGAUCAACAAGAGCAUUUGGAUCAAGGCAAGUAUAGCAUUUGGAUUUUAUUUCUGUGACCAUGAUCGUGUGACUAGAUUAAUCUUAAGUAAUAAACGAUAAAAAUGACUUUUUAGCAACUUGAUGAUUUAUCUGUACGUGAUCACCCGGGACAACAGUGCAACCAUGAGGGCUAUAAUGGCUCUGGCUUUAGUUAAGUAUGAGUAUGAGUAACUUUUCUAGCUCGUUAGCGGUUACCCGAUGUGGCGCAAUUAGGGAAUAGCAGACCGUGGAUUCCUGCGGGUGAAUCACACGGACUGACUAAUGAAACCAAGCGGCCCUAACUUGUUAGACGAACCUUUGAAAGACUUCAUAGUGAUCCCUGCUGACCUCCCUAGGAAGGGGGUUAAGAGAUUAGCUACCUCGGGCGAAAGGGUAAAUCAUGACUCAUGAGUAAAGAUGUGCAACCUCUGCAGAGGGUUAAAAACUAGUAUACUAGCCGAGCUCACGGUCAGGAGCGGCCUUGGAGACAUCUACACUAAGGGUGAUGAAUCUUGUGUGUUAAAUAUGCUCAUUGUUUAUUAUUUAAUGUUUUACAUAAUUUAUGUCACAUUGAUUAUGAGAUUGUGGGAGCUAUACAAUCUAGUUGCUAUACUUGUGGAGUUCGACAUGGACUCACUCUUGCUAUUUCUCCCACCCUUCAGGAGAAGUUUAGGCUUGUGAUCAACCAGUUAGUUGGAUCCUGUAGAGUGAAGUUAAUACUCGAAGUUGGAGUUGUCUAUCCGCUGUUUGAUACUAAAGGUUAUCUCUUUUAUACUAAGUACAUUAUAUGUUUACACAUUGUCUUUUGAUAUUACCCCUUAUUUGUAGCUAUAUGUGAGAUUUGGCUUUUAAAACUCGCAUAUGGUGCAUAUCUGGUUUUGUCCUUAAAAUCGGGUAUUACAAUAACACAUUGCAAAGUCUAACACUAAACAACAUUGUUCAUAAAACAAACAUAGAACUAGCAGGUCAUGUAAACUACUGAGUCUAACAAGGCCACUUUCCCUUCCUCUGCACAUCAGGAUUCUCCUCCAUUGCUGCCUUCGCUCAGCGCACACGCUCAAGCUUCUUUUCCCUCUCCUCCCUGUAUACAGCAACAUGUCUCCUUUUCUCCUCUUCCUUGUGCUCCUUCUGUAGAGCCUCCUCUCUGCGUCUCUUCUCUAAUAUCUCUGCACGCUCCGCGUCCCACUCUUUGUCACACCCGGUUUUAAAGAACAAAACCAGGCUAGCCAUAUGUGUGCCUAGGAAGUCCACACAUACAACAACAGAAGCAAUAGUAUCAAAAACAAUGUUAUAUAGCGGAAGCAUACUUAUAAUUAUCAUUUACAUCAGAGUAUCGUGGAAGGGUAACUAAUCUUCAGGCUCAAUCUUCACUGGGACGGUUGACUGGGGUAACAUAUGCCUGACACUUAUUGUAUCCUGAGAACGUCCUUCGUAACUCCUUCGCUCCUCUCAUAACUCUUACUAGUAAACUGGAGUGGUGGGAAAUAGUAAGAGUGAGCACAUGUCGUACUCAACAAGUAUAACCAGGGGUUCAUGAGGCUCAAAUAGCUGACACUGGUUUGACUGCAUUUAGCUUUUAUAUGUAGAUAUCAUGUUUAUAUUUAGAUAGCCAAUAUCAAGGUAGCAUAGUAAAUCCCAUAACCACAUAAUCAAUGUAUACAAGAAUUAAGAAUAACACAUAUAAACAAUAUAAUAAACCAUCAUCUAUCAUCAUUAAUCAUGUUCAUCAGUGUCCAUCUAUUCCGUCAGUUUUCCGGGCCGCCUGUAUCCGUGGGCACGACUAGUAUACCAGAUUUAACACUCUGUAGAGGUUAUACAUCUUUACCCAUGAGUCAUGAUUUACCCUUUCGUCCGAGGUGAUCAGCCUCUUAACCCACUUCCAAGGAAGGUCGGCAGGGAUCACGAUGAAGCCUUUCAAAAGUUCGUCUAACAUGUUAGGGCCGCAAGGUUUCCUUGGCGAGCAGAUAUAGAUACCCCCUUCCGAAUGGCACAAUGACGCGCAUCCUAUACACAUAGGGACAGGGGCUCGCACUAUACCCAUGUCGGUUCAGCCCCUCUAGCGCCCUUUCGGGGAACCUCUAACAAGCUAUUAAAGGUCUUCAUACUGAGCUAAAGCCAGAGCUAUAUGGCCCUCAUGGUUGUACGAGUUGUCCCAACUUUUGCCAAGGGAUAAGUCCUUAUGGAGGGUCAAGAUCAAUCUAGCAAAAGCUAGAGUUCUUUCCACCCUUUAUGUUCAAGUUGCUAGAAAUCUUAUUUUAUUGUUUAUUGCAUAUUCAAAUAUUCAAGUUAUAGGAUCAUGGAUUAAUAAUCAAGCACUAGCAAGAACUACCUAAAUGCAUAUCCAAUUAGGUAACAAGGAAUUCAGAUAACAAGCAUCUAUGAUUUUGCUAAGGUCGACAAGGUGGACACAUGCAUAUGAUAUAUGUAUAAUUAUAAGUGUAUAGGUAACAAGGAUAGUCCCAAGUUAUACUUGCCUUGAUCAAAGCUCAGUUCUCACACCUUCGGCUUUCAGUCAUCACCUUCUGAUCUUCAGCGCCCACAAGCGGUUCUCGUCUAUUCGUAUCAAGCACCACACAUACAAACAUACAAGCAACAAAUAAAAGCAACGAAGAACAAUACACCACACGAGAGAAAAGAGCGUACUAAAAGAGAAUCAGCGCUAGAAAAUCGCAAAAACCACCAAAACUGAACCUAUCAUUAAAAGAAAUGACUAACGAUAGUAUUAUAUUAUAAAAGAGAAGCUUACAUAUUUAAUUUAUUUAACUAUUUAAGUAAACAAAAUAAUAUAAAAGUUAUUAAUUCAGAUUAAUGUUAACAUAAAUUAUUUUUAAAAGUCAAGUUAAAACUAAUCAUGUUUUAUUUAUAAAUAUUUAGAUAUCAUUUAUGCCAAAUCCACACUAACAUGUAAAUACAAACUGUCAUAUGAGAGCAUCUAAAAUCUAAUCAAUUUUAACAUACAUGUUUGGACUAAAUAAAUUAUAAUUUAGAAACAUGAUUAUGUAUAGCAUUUAAUCAGGUUAACAUUUAUAUAUGAAAUACAUAAAUAUAAAACCUAUUAUGCUUUUAAUUAGAAAUACAAUUGCGUAAGCAUAAAUACUUAUGAAACUGAAUGAUGUGAGACAUGUUAAACAUCACCGCUAACACGUAGUUUCAGUCGACACAAUUGCAUGCAACGAGAGCCGGUUUAUAACCCUAGAUUAAUUUUUAAUUAGAAAGCUAUUUAAUAAAUAUUAAUCUAAUUAGUAUUUUGAUUAAUAACCUAUAAUCAAAUGUAAUGAUAAAUUUUAACACUACCGUGUAGAGCGCAUCGAUAUAAAUUCAAUAUAAUUUGAAUGGACCAAAUCGGAAUUAAAACGUUAACGCGACAGAAUUUACAAACCAGUGGUAAAGCAGUAAAUAUCUCGUCGUCUUCCUUUGAACAGAACGUGCAGAACACGAACACCCGUGGCCUCCAUGACCAUCGUCCAUUGAAGCUCAGCGGAGACCCUUGGCCAGGGGAGAAGAACGACUAGCUGGGGUGCCACGGCCGCUGAUCCUUGGUCAGUUGGCCUGCCGAUAGCUUGGUCCGCACCGGCCGGGGCUAGGCCCACGCAUGGAAGUUCGGCGCCGGUCUGCGGCAAGGCUAUCGCACAGGGCAGCGAUGGCUUCCUCCCCCUGUGCACGAAUGGAGGGACCGAAGACGGAACUAGCAGGCUCAAGGAUGUGGCCGCCUGGCCGGCAGAUGCCAGACAGCAAUACAAUUCGGAGAACAAUUAACUUCACGAUCGUUAAUGGUGGUUCGCCGGAAAAGAGAAAGAUGGGUUAGGAACAAUCAAACGGGAAUGAAUUUGCAAAAUAAAUAGCGUGCCUGUGUAGAGAACGUCGAGACGAACCUUGGGGUAGAAGCAGAAUUCGCCGAAGAUGAAAAACAUGGCCGAAAAAGCACGCCGAAGGUUCGCCGGAAGUUCUAGGUUUCGAAACUUCGGCUUUAGAUCUAGGAUGAUAGGAGCGACAACUCGGAAAAGCGGCCGUACUUUCAGAAUCAGCGCGUCGAGAGCUACGCCGGCAUAUAUAUAGUGUUAGGGUUCAAGGUUGGUAUAAAAAUGAGAUAUUUUAUUAUUUUCGGAUUUAAUUAAUUUCGUGAAAAAAAAUAAUUCUACAAAAUCUAGAAUUGAUAUUUAACCUACGAAAAAUACUCUUAAUGCUCCAAAAAUUUAGGGAAAAUUCUUAGAGACACUUUAGAAUAUGAGGAAUCUAAAUAAAGUAUUUGGAGCUCAUGAUAAGAUAAUUGGAGAAUUGGAGCUCAUGAUAAGAUAAUUGGAGAAUCUAAAAAUUAGAUUAUGCUCAUAGAAAAGUGGAAAAGAAUUUAAGAAAAAGCUGGAAAACUCUAAAGAAAUUUUAAUAGAUUGAUUGAUGAAAGAUAUACCCAAAAGAUUGAUUUAGAGAAGAAUAAAGGGAUAUGAAAAACUCUAAAUAAAAAGGUUAAGAUCAAGAAAGAGGAAACUUGAUUAUAGAAAAGGACAAAGUCAUGUCGGAUAAAAAAACAACGACUUACUAACGCAGUCUAAAUUUUAGCCAAACACAAAGCCAAGCAGCAAACAAGCAUCACACCACAUCAACAAAAGCCCAUCAAAUUAAUUUAGAAAAUUUUAAAGAAUGAUAUAUUUCCUAUAACUAAUUGAUGCUAUUUUAAACUCACAUUAGAAGUUUUAUCCAAAUAUCAAAAAUAUUUAUUUUAAUUAGUAUUUUCUAUGCACAACCCAAAAUCAAAAAAAAUUGGGGUGUGACACUCUUUCAGGCCUUGUAGAAGCCGCUUGUCCGACUCCUGAAUCUCUGUCUCGAUCCAUGGCUCAAAAUCGCACAAGGGGUCUACAACAAAGAUAUUUGUUAUAAAACAAAUAAAUCAUGCUUCAUAUGACAAAAUACUCAAUGCACAAUAAAAAUUUUUCUCACAAUAAAGUUACUACGGUGCUAUUGCGGUGUUGGCUUCCAUGCAAAAUUGGAACACAUCCAAUACCUCUGCUUAUAAGUUUCCUCAUCUUCAGAAAUUUCUACCUUACAAGGAUCACCACAAAAGCACAUGGGUCUUGGAACACCACUAGAGAGAGGCUUUAGCUCGUAAGGACUUCCGAUGGUCUGACCAUAGCUACAAUUGAAAUAAUUUACUUCUAUUAUCUGAACACGAAACAUUAAAGCAUAAACCUAGGGUUUACAACAUAAUGCACAACAAUGAACGCAUACCUUGGUUUCCUAGUCUUUCCAUGCCUAGGCAUCCUACGGGUGCGCAUUACAUAUUAAAUUAACAUUAAAACCAUAGUGACAAUUCAAAUGUUCUAAAAUACAACUAAUACAUACCAAAAUUAUGUGUUUCGCAUUAUUUCGGUACGUGUUAGUUGUAUUUUAGAACAUUUGAAUUGUCACUAUGGUUGGGAGAGAGGGUACGUUGCUCUCGAAGAUCUAUGGAUCAAAUCCAAGUUUACGGGUGAAAAUAUGGAUUCAUGAGGUAGGGUGUAGUGGUGAGAGUGAAAACACAAGAUAAAGGAGGAAGAAAAGAAAGAAACCUUAGGGAGAAAGAGGGGCUACCAAUUCAUUUAAACAGGGGUUUAGAGCCACGAUGCAUGGCGCCAACCUUGACACCACCCAUCAUGGCGCCAAGGGGCCCCUCCAUGUUAGCCACAACUUCCACAUAGACGGGGGCUUGGCGCCAUUGCCAUUGGCGCCAAGCUGUGUUGGCUUGGCAUCAUUGUCCAUGGCGCCAAGCCCUGAGUCCAUAUUUCGAAAUAAAACUACCAGGAACAUAUUUAUGAGAUUUUUUUUGAAAAAAGGCUAAAAACAAAAAAGAUGGUAUUAUACGGUUAAAUGACUUAAAGAGAGCAACGAAAACCAAUUGACGACCUCAUAUUAUGGUAUAUAUAAACCACCAGAAUUUUUAUAAUAAGCUUGUAUACGCAUAAACGGUCAAAGAACAUGUUUGAUGGGUAGUAAGGCUCUUUUAUGAUGGCUGAUGGGUCACACGGAAUUAUCUAUUAGGCCAAUCUUAAUAAGGAUAUCAUGGAGAUUUCAUGCAUAUUAAAUGGAGUGACAUGUCAGAAAAAAAAUAUUUUGAAUGUAUCAAGGAAGAGAGUGAGGAUUGGAGUUUUAUGGUCAUAAGGUCAGUCUCAAUGCAUGUUUCAUGAGAGUGUUAUGCACAUUAAAUAGGGUGUCAUACAAGCAAAAUUGCUGAUUUGACAGGGUCAUUAAAUGAAGGAGUUUCAUCCCCAUGAAACUCCACAGGCUCCGUUACCUAGUUUAUAGUUUUAGUAACUGUACCAUGAAACUAUGUAUUGAGAUUGGCCUAAGAUGAGCCAGCGUUGUUUCCCAUGUUUUGGAAAACACACGAAUUGCACUAAGCCGUUUCAUGCGGUCUAGUGUGGUCUGUGUCCAGCUGCGGGAUCGUGCAUUCACCCUCUCAUUAAAAAGCCACUGCAUCAGGCGUGAGCUCUCUUUCCUCUUUCUGUCUUGCGUCUGCUCCCUUUUCUCUAUUCCAUCAAAUCUUUGUGCCCCACAUGCUCUGAAGGAUCAUAAGGAUGCUACGCUAGCUAGAAAAUAAAAAUUUCGACCUCAUAAAAUAGGAUCAACUGCCAGUUAUAGAUCACGAGAUUACCACUAGACGCGCAGGUGCAACGGAAGCGACUCGGUGUAGUCGUGCGCAUAGUAGCAGUGCCGUGCAGUUGCAUGGUCGUCCACCACAUCAAUCCCUCUCAUGUGGUUCGUCCUUGUGCUCUAGAUGCAGCACCUCCGAGGUAUCCCACACAUGCGGGGAAGAAGUAUCACGCCUCCGGAUUGCUAGGUCCGUGAAGAGCAAUUGGCACGAGCGUGGGUGAGCGGCGGCGGCUGCCUAAUGGCAUGAGUUAACCCUGGCUGUGCCCCCUCCCUCUCUUAUAUAGGCAUCCCCUAAUCAGCCCCGAGCUGGAGGCCUAAUUAGAAAACCUUAAGCCUUGUCUAAUUUGGGUCCAACCCGAAUUAGGCUUCUAGCGCCUUAAGCGUGCGACCCUAUGGUUCACGUACAUAUGGACUUGGGCCGAGUACUCCUUACUCGCCCAAUAGUUGACAGUGGCCUCUAGCAAGGCGUGACAACUCCUAUACGCAUGCAAAGAUCAUAUCAGACGAACCACUGCAAACACAUACAUAUUAUUCCCUUGCCUCACGAUAUUUGGUCCAAUUCAUGGGGUUAACACUUAACCGAAUAAGCAAGGCCAUGCAUUAUUUGUUGAUCCAAUUACUUGAGAGAUCCAGUUAUAUCUCUCUUACAUAGAGAGGGGCAAGUUCCAUCUUCAUUAUCUAUGUCUCACAACAUGUUUCCCGACAAACCCAAAGACCACCUUUAUAACCACCCUGUUAUGGAGUAGCAUUUAGUAGUCUCUAAGUAGGUCGUUUCACAUCUCGAGAACAUACGACAAUCUCAGGUCUAAGGACAUAACGUACAUGAUGCAUAAAGAGAUAAUAAGAACAUCUCACAUUAGGUCAGUCCAGCCACAUGUCAUACAUGUGUCAAUAUUAUUAGUUUGACAUCUCUAUGUCUAUGACUUGUGAAAUAUAGUCAUCAACUAAUACAUGUGCUAAUCUAAUAUUCAUGUGUGUCCUCACACGAACUCUGAUCAAGGACAACUUUAGAAUAACCUGUUGACACCGUUUUUUGACACAUAUCUAGAAAGCUGAUAGAACUUGGAUCGGCAGGCGAAAAAGUGAUGACCGGUUGACAGAGGAGUUGUCGAUGGGUUAUGAUUAUUUAUGUGUGUCCUCACACGAAAUUAUUGAUUAUUUAAAGGAUCCAUCCAUGAAAGUUGAAAGGCGUGUUAGGUUUCAAGCUGCAAAAUAUGUACUCCUUGAAGAAGAGUUAUACUACCGAACGAUAGAUAGAGUCUUGCUUAAGUGCUUAAGUGUGUAGGGCACAUUAAUCGGCUUUCAAGAUGAAAUGGAUGAUUAGGAGAAACGAGUAUUAUUGGCCGACUAUACUUGAAGAUUGCUUUAAAUAUUUCAAGGGAUGUCAAGGAUGUCAGAAGUUUGGCAAUAUUCAAAGAGUGCCCACAUCGGCCAUGAAUCCUAUUAUUAAACCUUGGCCGUUCCGGGGAUGGGCUAUUGAUCUCCUCGGUUAAAUUUAUCCACCAUCAAGCAAAGGGCAUAAGUUUAUCUUAGUCGCCACUGAUUAUUUCACUAAAUGGGUUGAGGCUAAUCCCUUGAAGAAAGUGACAUCAGCCAAUAUGAUCGAUUUUGUAAAGGAGCAUAUUGUUUACCGAUUUGGUAUUCCCCAGACGAUUACUACCGAUCAGGGUACUAUGUUUACAUCGUGAGAGUUUGAUGAAUUUGCAAUCGGUAUGGGGAUUAAGGUGUUGAAUUCUUCUCCUUACUAUGCUCAAGCUAAUGGGCAGGCCGAAGCUUCUAAUAAGGGGAUUAUUAAGCUCAUCAAACGGAAAGUUGAAGAAAAUCCUAGGAGAUGGCACACAUUGUUAAUUGAAGCUUUGUGGUCAUAUCGGAUGACGUGUCAUGGCUCAACCAAAGUUUCACCCUAUCAAUUGGUGUAUGGGCAUGAUGCGUAUUACCAUGGGAGAUAAAGAUUGGUUCUAGGCGGAUCUUUUCUCAGGAUCAACUAAAUACCGAUGACUAUGCCACCUUGAUGAAAGACGAGUUGGAUGAUUUAGCAGGGCAUCGGUUGAGAGCUUUAAUUAGCAUAGAAGAAAAUAAAAAGAUAGUUGCUAAAUGGUAUGAUAAGAAAGUAAAGGCCAAGGGGUUUGCUGAUGGAGAUUUACUGUGGAAGCUGAUUCUACCGAUUGACACUAAAAGUUCAAAAUUUAGAAAAUGGUCUCCUAAUUGGGAGGGUCCUUAUCGAAUAAGUCGAUCUGCUCCUGGUAAUGCUUAUAUUUUAGAAACUCUCAAAGGAGUUGAAUUUCCCAGAGCAUUAAAUGGAAAAUAUUUAAAAAGAUACUAUCCUAGUAUCUGGAUUAAUGCAUAGAAGUUCAAAUGCCGAUAACAAACCUAUCGGCUGGAUAAAAUGUAUCUGGAAUCAUGCAUAGUGUUUAAGUGCCGAUAACAGUCCUAUUGGCUAGACCAAAAUAAUUAGAAGUUUUGAUGGCAGAAUUGAACAAGUUGUCGAUGAAGAGCUCAUAGGUUCAGCAGAGCUUGGAUAGCUGAUAUGGCACACAGACGGAUCUGGUUGGCCUCUUCUGUUUCUCGAGUAUCUUCAUCAGCAGAACCCUCCACCGGCUUCAGCUUCUUCUUCAUAUGCAGUGCUUUGCGGGCCUAGGCAUCUCUUUCUUGCUGAAGAGUUUUGAGCACCGCGGGCAGCUGACUUUCUUCUUGUUGAGCUUGAGUCAAGGCUUCUUCCACUUGCUUGAGUUCAGCCAGCAGAGCUUCUCUUCUUGCCGAUAGGUCGGAGAUCUUUUGUUUUAGCUCAUCCCCUGAGGACUGUAGAACACCGAUACUCUUGUGUUUCUCAUCGGCAGCAUGCUUUACUUGCAUCAUUUCCUCUGCGAGUCGGGCGUGAGCAGCUCUAUCGGCAAGACGCUGAGUGGCCUUCUGAUACUGGAGCUAGCGGCUUUCCAAGUGAGCAGCUUGAAAAAGGAUCUCUUCAGCAUCGGUUGGAAUCUGACCACAAAGAGUCUUGAAUAAAGCCUUGGCCGAAGCAGAAUCAUCUACUAGCUGAGCCGUGUCUUGGUGCAGCAGAGCUAAUAGAUCUUCCAACUUGGCUUUGAUUUCUGCCGAUGAGAUUCCAACUGCCUAAGAAGAGCUAGCUUCUUCGCCUUCAUCAUCAGAAAUGUCAAUGGCAAAGGAAAAUAGGUUGUCUGGGGAAUCUUGUUCCUAGAAAAGGAAGAAUAUGAGUUAUUCAAGACUAAAUGUUGAUAAUGUAAAGUCUAAAAAUUGGAUAACUUACUUGCUUUAGGGAGAUUUCUUGCCUCUGACGAGGAGAUGCAGCUGGUGCUAUGGUUUGAUCGGCUGGGGUUGUCGAUGGAAUGACUUCAACUAAAAAGUUACAAGGAUGAUUAUGAAUUAUAAGAUAAAUUCAUCGGUAAUAAUUCUGUGAUCAGUGCUUUACCUUGAGGAGGUAUAAUGAUCGUCUGUUCUGGAGGGAUGGCCGAUGAUGUGCCCAGAUCAACCGGAUCGGCUAUCUGUUCCGAAACAUCGGCUGGUGCUUCUUGCAGUUGAGGUACUGAUCGGGGAGGAGGAGAUGUUUCUUAUGUCUGGGUUUCCGGUGGAGAAGGAGAUGAUGCUACCUGGAUCGAUGAUACUAGACGAGGUGGAAAAGAUGGUGUUGUAUUCUGACGUUUCGGCUGGGUCUUGGUGCUUUUGGGACCCUUUCUCUUGGUUGGAGCUUGAUGGGGCUGGGGGGCAUCGGCACUUGACGUUUGAGCGCUUCUGGUCUUAGCCGAUUUGCCAGUUUGCUGCUACAACAACCAAAAUUUCAUGAGUAAAAAUAUGAAAGAGUACUGAUGGAAUUCUGCUGAAGGAUAAAAAAUUACCGAUGAAGUUCCUGUUGUAGCCGAUGUACCCUGAAUAAACUGAAGUGAGUAUGGGAUGAAUUCAGUAAUAAAAAUUAUUAUUAAGAGUUUUACCUUGAAAGCCUGUGCCAAGGUAGCAGCAGCAACCGAUGGAGAUACUUUUGACCGUUUGGUGGUCGUCUUCUUGAAGCGUAUGUUCCGAUGCAUCAGGGCUGCUAGGCUUGGCGCAUUGUGGCCGAUCAGAGAAAUCGGACCUGAUGGGAGAAGUUCGAUCAGCCUUCCACUUCUGCUGAUUGCUGGUGCUAGGUUGUCGACCUGUUGAAAUAAAAAAACAAGUAAGUUGCCAAUAAGAUCAAAGGUAACAAAGGAACCAAAGUAUCGGUAAAAAGACUUACGAUGUUAUCGAGGACUUUAUAGUCAAAGUCGAUCCUACCGCGGUAUGUGUGAGCCGAUGCGCUGAACAGAUGCUCCUUCCAUUCCUCCCACCAAUGUUUAUACAGCUGAGUAAUAAAGAGAGCUGGAACCCAGGCCGAUAGAUCGAUGUCUGUUGUAUCGGCAUUUGGUUGGAGUUGAGCUAUCCUUAUCCACUCAAGUCCACUGGUUAUGGUCUCCCUUGGUUUCAGCACAUCGGCAUAACAGAGUCUGUUCGGCAGUUGGCCGAAAGCUAGUUGGCGAGCUAAUGCCGAUGGGUUGUAGAACUCAUAGGUGGGGUUGGUGUUCUUCCCGGUACCGAAGGUGUUCACUGAAAUUGCCCUCAGAGUGAUGAUUGCCAUCAUCAAGUCAUUAUCCUUGUUAAGAGUAUUGUCAAAAGGAUGGAAAGUGAGUGGGAAUCUGGUUUCUAAAUCUUCAUAAGGCAUCUAUGCUCAUUGAUAUUUGGAGAGGCCAUCAUACAAGGUCUGAAAGAAUCGGCCAAUCUGGUUUUCAUUGCAUCCGGUGCGAGGGAGAACUAUGGCAGCUUCACCAUAAUUGAGGGGUGAGCGAGUGGCCGAUUCAUCGUCGGCCAGUUCAUAAUCUUCGGCAAUGUCUUUGGGGAAUUGCUGUGCAAAGAAAUCAAACCGAACGCAUUUGUGCAUAUGAACAUUGAGCCACAUGUUGAUGAACCACCAGGGGCCUCCUAAGUUGCCGAUGGGUUCACCUAACAGGAGUUUCUCAGUCACUUGAUGGAGGAGAUGAUAGGCGGAGCCUAGUCGAUAUUGGCCAAGAGGGAAUCGGCCACCAUCGGCCAACCUUUCUGCUGCCGAUAAGUACACAGAAGUUGGCCCUACCGAUCGACCAUAGAAGAUGAAUUUAUCUAGCCACAUGUUCAGGAAAAUGGCGUGUUCCCUCUGCCCAACUAGUCUUGUUCUCUGAUACUUCUGGAUAUACCCUGACCAACCGUCGAUGUUGCGGGUUUCUACUUUGCGUUCGGCCAUGCGAUCGAACAAAUGGCCAUCAUCGGCAGUUGCAAUGUCUAAACAGAUAAGCAUGAGAACAUCGACAAGAGUGGUGGAAGCUAGGCCGUGACCAAAAAGGAAGGCAUUGAGGGUAUCUGACCAGAAGUAUGAGGAAGCUAUCAGCAGUGACUCAUUUCUCUCCAUAUCGGCAAUAGAUAACCUCAUGCAUUGAUCUAGUUUGUGUUCACCCCAAAACACUUCAUUCGUGUCGCUAACCCUCAGGAACCAAUCCUUCCAUCCCUUGGUGGAACUUGCCCGGGAUCAGAAGGCAUCUUUCCACAGAUCUAAAGAAAAGUUCUCGGCUCUAAAGGGAAUUCUAUUUGUCUCUGCAUUAAUCAGAUCGGUAGGAUCUGGAUUACCCAGUGGACUGAGGCAUUAAAGGUGAGGUUGCUCGGUAGGAAUGACGAUUUUCUCGCUCAGUUCCUAUGGUUUGAAGAUUGGAAGAACAGAGAAAAAGAAAGAAGAAAGAAAAAUGCUAAGUAAGUAAACUUGCAAAAAGUAAAGAGGUGCGGCAAAAAGAGGAAAGAUGGGAAUAGAUUAACCUUAGAGACGAUGAAGUUGGCGGCCAUUGCUUCCCGGAGGAGAAGAUCGGAGACUUGAGGAACCGUUGGGGAGGACUUUGCUGAAAUUUUCGGGCUCUUCAACAAUGCUGCCGCCGGAAUAGAUGAGUUUGGGGAAUGAAGGAUGGUAAGGUAGAGAAAGAGUACCAAGGAAGGAAGUAUUUAUAGGGUAAAAUGAGCACGGGCAUUUCUGACUUAUCUCUUUGCCGUAUCCGUGAAAUUCGAGGGUGUUCAGGUGGAUAUGGUAACUAUUCGCACGGUAAUCAAGGGAUUAUACAGGUGAUUUGACAGCAAGCGGUCUUGAUUUUAGGAGAUAUUUCACUGUGCAGAAUCUCCUGGUCGGCUCAUCGGUAGUCCACUCUAAAGGAAUAGUUGCCGAUGAGCGGAUGUUUAGGAGAUUUGGUUCGGGAGGUUGAGAAAUUUGAGGUGCCUGCUGGAAAUCCGAGUUAAGGUUGUUUGGAUUUGGUAAUUAAUUGCUGUCAGAAGGUAAUAACUACGAAAAGAGUGUCAUUACUAGGAGAGAAUUUCAGAGAAUUAAUGAUUUUAUACUCCGAAAUUGGGGGGGCAUGCGUUGACACCAUUUUUUGACACGUAUCUGGAAAACUGAUAGAACUUGGAUCGGCAGGCGAAAAAGUGAUGACCAGUUGACAGAGGAGUUGCCGAUGAUAAAGCAGCAGGAUAUGACCAAGUCCAGAAUAAUGGUUGAUCUAUGCCGAUGGCUGAUAUUAAUGGUUGCCGAUGUCGAUGGAGGAUGAUAUGCCGUUGAUAGUGGAGGAAGGCGUAGGGAUCAUCGGGAAGAUGAUGGUGGUGUGCCGAUCACCUUGGAUAGAUAAAUUAGUGAUUUCCAUAGUUAUUAGAGUUUGUUUUAUAUACGGAUUCUGUUUAAUUUGGAAUUAGAAUCCUAGUCGUACCUGGUUGUAACUCUUUAUGACAGGGAAUGAAUAUAGACCUAGUAGCGAUGUAAGAGACAACACAAUCAAUCAAACACAAGUUUUCACAUCUAUUCUAGCAUCUACUUUUCGACGACUUCGUCAACUCACAUAUUUUCUUUUUACUUACGAGUUCUUAGGAAUUCAUCAAGUCAAACUCGACGGAUUCUCAAGUUCCGCGUGAAUACCUCUUGGCCAUGGCAUCCGGGCGCAUCGCUGUUGUCGGGACCAAAGUAUUCGAGUUAUCACCUUUGUCGGUUGUAGGUCAAAUCGGUUGGCACGCCUUAACGUUGAAUCAGGAAUUAGUCCUUUAUGUUUGCAAAUCCACUUUUGCAUCAACAUAACCAUACAAGUAAAAGAGUUUCACAAACAAUUCACAUAAUUGUUAAUCGAUACAAGUUUGUCUAUAAUGGAUAUUCAUCAAACUCAUAAUAUAUGUAAUGGAUACAACUGUAAUAUCAUCAUCUCUAUGAUUACCUCUAGGGCAUAUUCCUAACAGUCUCCCACUUGCACUAGAGUUAAUCUCUAAGAUAUCUAAUACCCGUAGACCUCAAGUGUGCCUCAUGCUUAGGCUGUGGAAGAGCCUUUGUGAAAGGAUCUGCAAUAUUCAAAUUCAUAUGUAUCUUGCACAUCGUAAUUGCACCUCGCCUAACGAACUCUUGAAUGAGGUGAAACUUCCACAGCACAUGUUUGUUCUUUUGGUGAUUCCUAGGCUCCUUAGCCUACACAAUCGUCCAAUUGUUGUCACAAAGUAGAUUCAAUUGGCUUGACUCAUUUAGAAACACACCAAGUUCAAUGAGGAACCUCCUCAUCCAAACACCUUCCUUUUGUAGAUUCAGAAGCUGUGAUGUACUCGACCUUAGUUGUAGAAUCGGUCACUCUCGCAUGCUUGGAACUUUUCUAGCUGGCUGCACCACCAUUUAUUGUGAACACAAAACAUGAUUGAGAGUGCGAAUCAUCUGUGUCAGUUUGGAAGCUAGCAUCUGUGUAACUAUUUACAACGAGCUCCUUGUCACCCCAUAGAUUAGGAACACAUCUUUAGUCCUUCUCAUGUACUUAAGAAUGGUUUUAACAAGUGUCCAGUGACUUUCACCUAGACUAGCUUGGUACCUGCUCGCAACACUUAGAGCAUAUAAGACAUCUGGGCGAGUACAUAUCAUGGCAUACAUGAUCGAACCAACUGCCGAUGCAUAUAAAACCUUACUCAUGCGUUUGCGCUCUUCUUCUAAUGAAGGACACUAGUUAUUGCUAAAGCGCAUGCCAUGUGACAUAGGCAAGAACCCUCUUUUAGAUUGUUCCAUGUUGAACCAUUUUAACACCUUGUCUAUGUGUGUAUCUUGGCUUAAUCCUAUUAGCCUUUUGGACCAAUCUCUAUAGAUCUUAAUGCCCAAAAUGUAUGCUACUUCUCCUAAAUCCUUCAUAGAAAAACUAUUAUUCAGUGAAGUCUUCACUGAUUGCAAUAUUACAAUGUCAUUCCCAAUCAAUAAUAUGUCAUCCACAUAUAAGAUUAGAAAUACAACAGCGCUCCCACUUUCCUUCUUGUAAAUAGAAGGUUCUUCUUUAUUCUGACGAAAGCCAAUCCUUUGACCACUGCAUCAAAAUGAAUAUUCCAACUCCGAGAUGCUUGCUUUAAUCCAUAAAUGGAUUUCUUAAGCAUGCAUAUUUUCUAGCAUUAUUAAGAUCAACAAAACCUUCAGGUUGUAUCAUAUACACUUCCUCUUCUAGGUUUCCAGUUAGAAAGGUUGUUUUAACAUCCAUCUGCCAUAUCUCAUAAUCAAAAUACGAUUGCUAGAAUGAUCUAGAUAGAUUUAAGCAUCACUACUGGUGAGAAAGUCUCAUUGUAAACAAUUCCUUGAACUUGCCUGAAACCCUUUGUGACAAGUCAAGCUUUGUAGACAUGAACAUUUCCAUUCAUAAUCUUUUUCUUUUUAUAGAUCCAUUUGCACUCUAUGGGUCUAACCCCAUCAGGCGGAUCAACCAAGUUUCAAACUUGAUUGUCUCCCAUGGAAUCUAUCUCGGAUCUCAUGGCACUUUGCCAUUUCUUGGAAUCUAGGUCCAUCAUUGCUUUUGCAUAAUUUGCAGGUUUGUUAUCGUCUAACAAUAACAAUUUCCCAUGCAAUUCAUGAAGUCUUGCAGAUCUUCAUAGUUGUGGUGGUGUUUCUACUACCACGGGUGUCUCAACUUGUUCUGCUACAUUAGCAUCACUUGAAGAGUCAUUCCCAACUGGAUCAUCUUGAACUUCUUUAAGAUAAACUUUCUGUCCAUUUUUCUCCCUUUUGAGAAACUCUUUCUCUAAGAAAACACCGUUUCGAGUAACAAACACUUUGCCCUCUGUCUGGUUAUAGACAUAAUACCCUAAAGUUUCCUUUGGGGUAUCCCACGAAAAAACAUUUGUCCGAUUUGGGUGUUAGUUUAUCUUAUAUAAGUCGUUUGACAUAAACUUCACAACCCCAAAUUUUUAGAAAAGACAAACUAGGACACUUACUAGUCCACAUCUCAUAUGGUGUAUUAACUACAGACUUAGAUGGCACCCUAUUUAAAGUGAAAGCGGCUAUUUCUAGAGCGUAUCCCCAAAACAAUAAAGGUAGGUCCGACUUGCUCAUCAUAGAUCGAACCAUGUCCAACAAAGUUUGAUUAUGUCACUCGGACACGCUGUUCCUCUAAGGCGUUCUAGGUGGCAUAAGUUGUGGAACAAUUCCACAACUCUUUAGAUGAUUGCUAAAUUCAUGACUCAAAUAUUCGCCUCCACGAUUAGACUGCAAAGCCUUAAUUUUCUUGCCAUGUUGAUUCUCUACUUCAUUCCAAAAUUCUUUGAAAUUUUCAAAUGUUUUAGACUUAUGCUUCAUUAAGUAGACAUAUCCAUAUCUACUAAAAUCAUCAGUAAAAGUUAUGAAGUAUUGGAAUCCGCCUUUAGCUGUCGUGCUCAUUGGUCCACAUACAUCAGUAUGUACAAGUUCCAACACGUCAGACGCUCUCUCAGGAAAGCCUGUGAAAGGUGCCUUGGUCAUCUUUCCUAGUAAGCAAGACUUACAUAUCUCGUGAGCCUCUUCACAUGUCUUAACUACAGACUUAGUGAUUCAAGACCCUCGAUUGAUACUUAGUGAUUCAAGACCCACAACUAACAAGUAUACUAGUGAGCUUUAGCAUCACCACUAGUAGACAUGGUAGAUCGGUAAGCAAAUCCUUGCUGAUCAUAUCACAUGUGACUCUUGUUGUUGGGGUGGCAUCUCAAUGCUUGUGUUGCCCAACUACUUAUGCUCCGAGGUCCCUAACCGUUAGGAUGACCUUGUUUAAGUAACCAACCCUUCUGCAGUAAGUAUCUGAUACAAACCUACCUAGUUAAGGAAAAUCAGUGGCACCCUAAUUUCAUAGACCUACCACCGAUCGUACAAGACACAUAACAGUGCAAGGUUUGGGGAAGAAUGUAAUUUAAAUAUUGCUGAGGGAUCGUUCUACUUCACUACUGUGCGCAUGUAGACAAAAAUAUCAUCGCAUAUGAAAGUAGAACAUAGUAAGAACGUGUAACACCCUAAAAUUUAUAAUUUUUGAAAUAGGUGAAAUGAUUUAAUUUUGCAUUUUUGUGUUCAUGGAAUAUAGAGAAAUAAUAUUUUUUUAGUAAAUUAAAAUUUAUCAUAGGAUUAGAAAUAAGGUUGAGCAUUCAUGCUCGAAAAUUCAUUUUUAUUGUGAUGAGUGAUUUGACCAAAGAUCAAAAAUAUUUCAAACAUAAUUCAAAGUGAUUUUUAUAAUGGUUUUGAAAAUGGCUUUGCAAUUAAAGAAAUGGAAAUAGAAAAUAAAAGACAAAUCCCCUCCUCUCCCUCUUCCUGGCCUGAUGGCCCAAAUCCCCUCUCCCCACCCACGGCCCGCCAGUGCACCUCCUCUCCUUCUGCUUUCAUAGGCCGUGAAGCUCAGCCAGCCCAUGACCCGAGUGGCGCCCCACUUCCCCUCUCCGGCCCAAGCCAGCGCACCCCUCUUUUUCCCCCUUUCCCCUCCGCUCGGCCCGAUACGCAGCAGGUCAGCCCAGCCGCGCCUCCCCUUCCCUUCUUUCCACUGCCAGCUGGGCCCCGCUUGUCAGUGUCUUCCCUUUCCCUUCCUUUCUCCUUCCUCGUUUCGUUACCAAGAUGGACUCCUACCCCAACCGCGCCAUACGAUCCCAGAAACCCGAGAUUUCCUUGCAAACGUGUGGUCCAAGCUCACUAUAAAGGCCCUAAGACCCCGCCGCGACCCCCUUUUUCUUAGCGCACGCUUUAACCGAGCCCUAGCCGCUGUUUGCAGCGCGAUUUGGAUCUCACCGGGAACUAAGCUCGCCGCUGCCGUGGCUCUUGCAAUUCGCGAGUGUUCGGCCGAAAUUGAUUUGCUGCCGAGCUCCGCGUUUGGGUAACGAAGCCACCAAGACCUUCCGUUUGCUCUCUCUCACAUUCUAGGCCACGCUAACCAAUGCCGAACUUGCUCAGGAAGUCACCGUCCGCCAUCCGUGUGGUCCGCCCGACUCCAAGCUCUCCCCGGCCUUGAAAACCCUCCCAGUGAGUUCGUCUUGACCUCCUCUUGCUUCCCGUGUUUUUAAAUUGGAGUUUGGCUCUCGGUAGCAUGUUUCCCAUCAACUCCGACGAGGCCAUCAAUGGCGCCGCCACCGGAGGUCCUGUUCCGGUGACCGGCCGGCUGAGAGACCCCUCUCUCUCCCCCUGGAAUUUGAUCAGAGCCAUUGAAACACGAUCUAACGGCCAGAUUUGGAGGAUACCCCUUCGCGGGGAUUUUUAUUAAAGAGCCCCUCUACUUCUUAGAUAUAGAACCCACAUUCCAUGACGGUUUCUGAGAAUACGCUUUGUCCUUUUGAAAGCGUAAAUAACUCGUCUUGGUUUCAAAAUACGUUUUCAGUAUUUACUAAAUUGCCACUGAAAGUAUUUUGCUCAUAAAUUGGUCAUUUUAAAUCCGUUUUGAUCCAUUCAAAUUGCGUUAGGUUCGUUUUCAUGAGCUCUACAUGUUAGUAAACCUUAUUCACCAGUUUGAAACUUUUUAAUUUCGUGACCUUAAUUAAUUAAUUACUCUUCUAUGUAAAAUCUUAGAAAAUUCAUAACUCCUACGUUUUAACUCCGAUUUUCGUGAUCUUGACGUCUAUGAAAUCGUAGCGAUGCGUAAAAUCAUUUUAUAAAUUUUUCAUACUGUUUUUAUAUGAUUGCUGUACUGUUCUAAUUGUAGCCUUGUUUGCUUCGUGUAUGUUGUCUCCGAUUGUUUGUGUGUUGAUGAUCGAUGAUCGAGUUUAGUCGGUGAACAAUUCGUGGUGAACAAGAGUACUUCAGUGAUCAAGAUCUGAGCCUUGGACAACUUGUGAGACCAGCAGGAUAAGCAAGAGCAAUUGGAUUAAGGCAAGUAUAGCAUUUGGAUUUUAUUUCUGUGACCAUGAUCCUGUGACUAGAUUAAUGUUAAGUAAUAAAUGAUAAAAAUGACUUUUUAGCAACUUGAUGACUUAUCUGUAAGUGAUAACCGGGACAAUAGUGCAACCAUGAGGGCUAUAAUGGCUCUGGCUUUAGCUCAGUAUGAAGCCCUUUUCUAGCUUGUUAGAGGUUACCCGAAAGGGCGGAGGGGCUGAACUGUUUUGGGUAUAGUGUGGCCUCUAUCUGUAUGUGUAUAGGCUGCGCGUCAUUGUGCCAUCGGAAGGGGGGCUCUAUAUCUACGCGCAAAGGAAACCUUGCGGCCCUAACAUGUUAGACGAACUUUUGAAAGGCUUCAUAGCGAUCCCUACCGACCUUCCUUGGAAGUGGGUUAAGAGGCUGAUCACCUCGGGCGAAAGGGUAAAUCAUGACUCAUGGGUAAAGAUGUACAACCUCUGCAGAGUGUAGAACUGGUAUACUAGCCGUGCUCACGGUCAUGAGCGGCCUUGGGGAUUCUUGCAUCGACGAUGAUGAAUCUUGUGUGUUAAAUAUGCUCAUUGUUUAUUAUUUAUUUAAUGCUUUACAUUAUUUAUGUCACAUUGAUCAUGAGAUUGUGGGAGCUAUACAAUCUAGUUGCUAUACUUGUGGAGUUCGACAUGGACUCACUCUUGCUAUUUUCCCCCACACUUCAGGAGAUGGUUUAGGCUUGUGAUCAACCAGUUAGUUGGAUCCUGUAGAGUGAAGUUAAUACCCGAAGGUUGGAGUUGUCUAUCCGCUGUUUGCUAUCAAAGGUUAUAUCUUUUAUACUAAGUACGUUAUAUAUUUAUGCAUUGUCUUUUGAUAUUACCCCUUAUUUGUAGUUAUAUGUGGGAUUUGACUUCUAAAACUCACAUAUGGUGCAUAUCUGAUUUUGUCCUUAAAAUCGGGUAUUACAGAACGGCAUAAACACAGAUAUAACUUGGUAUAUCCCAUUAUCACUUUUGGGAUCUCCAUCUCCAUCUAUCUGUUCAUCAUGGUGAUCUCCAUCUCCAUCAUGGUGAUCUUUCAUAACAUAGUUUCCAACACAUCUAUAUUUUGGAAACAAUGAAUAAGAGUUUUAUGGGAAUGAAACUCUCUCUACUCGCAUGAAACUCUUAUCAUCUCUCUUCAUUAAUAUAGCGCCACAUCAGCAUAUUUAAUGUGCAUGAAACUCAAAUAAAACCCCAUGUCUCAAUGAAGUUUCACCAAGAGUGUCAUGCAUAUUAAAUAGUCUGCCACAUCAGCAAGAGCACACUUUUUGCAAGAAACUAGGAGGAGAGAGAAUGGAAAAGUUUCACCCUAGUGAAACGAUACAGCGUUGUUUUCAAAAUGUCAAAAAUGGUGUGAAACCCGCAUUGAGAGCCACGAUUCGUUUUAUCCCAUCGGUCUUGUUCAACACUAGCCCCGCGGACUCCGCUACACGAGCCACCUUCUACAGUCGUGCUCUACUGCGGUCGCGGUCUGUUGGCAUGUAGUCGCUGCCUCCACCACGGUGAGGCAUCGGUGGCUCCACCAGGGCCUCCUCGUCCACCCAAGGCGAGUUCACACAGAGGGCACAUGCAUGGUGAGGCAUCGGUGGCUCCACCAUGGCCUCCUCGUCCACCCAAGGCGAGUUCACACAGAGGGCACAUGCAUCCGUACACAACCGUGGAUGCAUGCCUCCUAGCGUGGCAAGCGUGAGCGCCAGGUAGGCGCCACCACAGGGCUCCUGGCCUCGAACCAAACGACAAUACGCCGCUAAAUCCCAACUCCUCGACGAUGCACGCGGUGGACCACGGGUGCUGCUCAUCAUGACGACUCGUACCUCCUCGACAACACGUGGGGCGGACCAUCGUCAUGCAGAAGAGUCAGUGUGCAACCGCCGCAAGCGGGAAGGCCAGGCGAGGGCGAGGGCGAGCUGCUGCUGGGCGCGGACAUGGGAGAGUUGUUGUUGUUGAUUUCAGGAACACAAUCACAAAUGCUAGAUGAUUAGAUUGGCUAACCUAUGAACACUGGAUCGCAAGAAUUGAACUCAGACACGUCGGGAACCGCCAAGGUGACAGCUCCCCUUUUCGCUUUCUCCAAGUUUAGAUAAAAUAGUGUUUACAACCAACACUCUGCGAUAACACACUCCCUAAACAUCCAGCCUUUUAUACCAAGGCUUACAACUCACGCUGAUAACACAGAAAACAACACCGCACAUGAUACAAACGAGGUAAAAUGUAACUGCCUGCUUGAGUGUCUGUUGGGUAUUUUAAACGCAAACAGAAAAUUCCACAAGCGCACGGAUACCGAUGUAGCUUUCACCCGGGAAUAUUCUAGAGUAUCGAUUUUCCACAAGGAACGUGAGUGUACUAAUUAAGAUUCAAGAUCGCCCAAGGAUAACUAUAUAAUUAUUUUUGGUGGGAAGAAGGGAAGUUUCCUGAGAGUUCUCUAGUUGAUCUAAGGAUCAAGAAUUACUUCAAAGAUUAUUUAUUUCGAGACAUCAGAACACUAACCACAGAAAGAGAUGAGAAGGGGGCUAGGAAGCUCUGACUACGGUCCUACAAACACCGAUCCGAACGAGGUGGAAUACGUCGACCGUUAGGGUUGUCACUACCCUAGGGCUACCACAACAAUCCGCAGGAUUGAGUGCAAUUCCAGGUAAUUGCAAGACUAAACACCACGUCUAAUCUAUUAAUUACUACUCUAGCGUUAUAAAGACUAGAGCACUUGAUGCAAGCGAGAAUCCAAUAAAUAACUUGAAUGUAAAUAAAAGUAAUUAAAGAACUCAGGAAUUAUGAAUUGAAGAACCUAGAGAACGAUGAAGAACUAACCAGUUGCUGCAAGAGUACAAUGUUGAGGAAGAUCCAACAGACCCGGCUUCUCCUCCGCUCUCCUCUUCUCUCUCCCUAUUUUCUAGAUUACAACUAGAACUAACUAGAACUAGAAUUAGAGGAACUAGAACUAGAACUAGAUAAACUAGAGGGAUCCUCUCUACUUGGAUGAAGAAUUGAAACCAUAACUUUGAUUCUGUAGAACUUUGAGUCUUUUCAGAUGAAUCUAGGCCGUCGGAUCAAACCGACAUUGAUUGAACGGUUAUCCUUGAUCCUUUAUGUCGUUGGAGCGUGAUCCGCGAAACGGGUCCAAAUUGGACACUAUAGGAGGGCGGGCGCCCUAGUCCUUAGGGCGGGAGCCCUGGGCCAGGCCCUGUUCUCCCUCUGCUUCGUUCCCGUGGCUUCUGGAGUCUUCUAGAUGAUAGAAAAUUGCGUGGUACGUUAAUAUCGCUAUGUAAACCCGACGUGUGGGCCUUUCCUCCGUAUUUCCUGAUAACCCCCUGUAGAAAUAGACAAACACCAAAACUCGUGGAAUUCUAUCAGAUAAAACCCUAAGUCUAGGUGUUAGUUGCAUUUGGAUCCUUUUCCAUGAUUAGUUGAUGGUUAAAUGUGAGCAUUAAGGACCGUCAACAAGCUCCCCCAAGCUUAACCUUUGCUCGUCCCUGAGCAAAGAUGAACUCAAGAGUUUCUGCAGUGGUUUCAUGCCUUAAAGGUACACAUGCGUUCAAACAAGAUCUCAUCUCUGGGUUAGGGUAAACUGUUAAGAUUUAAAUUUACUCAUUUUACCUUCCACCAUGGGGCUUGCAACCGUCACUUGUGUCUUGAGUAGUUAAAAGAUAGAACGGUCUAGUCAAGUGCCAUGUCUCUUGUUCUUUGAUUAACUAUAGCUCUGGAGUUUUUGAAGAUUUUCAAAUAAAACUCAGAGAUUCCUUGUAUGACUCUCUCUAGUCUCUCUUUUGUGGUAUUUUUGGAUCCUUACCAAGGCAGUAGUGGUGUAUGCCUUCUCUCAAAGUUUGUGGUAUUUUUGGUAUGAGGCAUAGUGGCAUUGCCCUCUCUCUCACCCUACUCUAAUAAGGUUUUGAUAUCUGGAGCUCAUAGGUGGGAGACAACUAAUACAUACUUACAAGACAUUUAUUGCAUAGUCAAACCAUGGAUCUAGAAGAACAAGUCAAUAAGUCAAAUCAAGAUAUGCAUGUGUGGUGAAUGAAUGGUGUAUGGUGAUGAUGGUGAUAACAAUGGUGAAAGUCUAAUUCUACUUGUGCUCUUUUGAGGGGAUACAUACCUUUCUUGCUCUUUUGAAACUUUUUGAGGAGAAUGAGAAUGAUGAUGGUGAUAACAAUGGUGAUGUAUGGUUCAUAGUCUAAUAAGCAUGUAUAUAUGGCUGUGGUAGGAAUUUAAACUCUCAUCAUACAGGAACUCAUCAUGUGAUAUUUUAAAGAUUUUUAAAGAUAAAAUUCUCCAAAAUUCUAGCAUCUCUAGGAACAGAUAAACAACAGCUCAACCUUCCCAUGUCAUAUCCGUUAACAACUUAGACUUUAGAUCAAGUAAUCUUCCCACAAGUUCAGGUUUAGAGCAAAUCUUAAUUAAUAACAGUCAUGCCUAAAUUUGAGAGAGAUUUCAAUUUUGAGAACUAGUCAUGGCAGAGCAACUAUUCAUCCUUUCCAUGUGAGAGCUUAUCACGAGGGUUCAUAGAAAAUUUUAUUUAUUUAUUUAUUUAGCAAACUAAGCAAAGAUAUAUAUAUAUAAGCAUAAAAUCUUUAUUUGGGUUUUUAUAAUUAUGCAUCUUUUUAUUAUUUGAGUAAAGUAUAAACAUGAGUAGAACACUUAGCUGGAUAAAUGGGGGUGCUCUCCCCCAAGCUGGAUUUUGACGUAAUUUCUUCUGAUAUAGCUAGCAGGUGGCGGAGGUGUAUUUGAAUGUCGGCAGUACCCUGACAGCGAUUAGGAUGUCCUCCGUCUACUAGUCUUCUUUGAUCCUUGAAUUCUGUGGAGCUCAAAUAGACAACAAAGCUUUGUGGAACUGGUUAAGUGUUAACAUAAAUAUCUAGCCUUUAUCAUGUUGAGCCUCCUCAAUAAAUGUUACUCUCUUUAGUAGGAUCAUAAAUUUAUUUUUAUAUUUUCAUUUUUAUAGGAUAGGAAUAUAUUUAUUUUAUUUUUAUGCCACCACAGUGAAUGUACUUAUGGGUUUUAUGCCAUGAGCAUACUCACAUGGGGCUUACUAUUUUUAACAUUUUUAUUUUCUUUUCAAGAUGAUAUGAGCCUGAUUAACUAAGCAAACUAUUUUAAAUAAUUGAAAGGAAAAGGAUAACUACCAAGUUUACCUCUUGGCAAGGCGUUCGGUGUUUUUAAGUCCUCCAAACGAGACUCUCCGUUUUCUCAGUCGUCCUGGGAUUUGCUGGAUGGCGUAGUCGGUGGUUCCGGCGGCGCCUUCGCUUUGUGUAUAACUAUCUUCUCUCUCCACACCUGACUCGGUGCUACGGUCUCCUCAGGACAGUUCUGUUCAAGCUGUAUGUCUUCAGACCUUACAACUUCUAUUUCGUAGUCUGCCCAUCCGUCCUUGAUGAUUUCCCUUCUCUGGUUGCGGUUGCGUCGUCUUCUUCUUGUCGUGACCUACUUAGAGUCUUCAACUAUAUAGUUAAGGUCAGUAAAAUAACGUCGUACCUUCUCAGAGGAGAAGUGCAUGUGGACUUCUCCAGUUCCAAUGUAGAUAAUUGCUUUAACGGUGCUGAGGAAUGGUCUCCCAAGGAUGAUGGGUGGAUCGUACUUGUCUUCUCCCAUGUUAAUAACCUUUCGGAAUGUCUGAUCUGCCAUCCGGUGUCGCAAAGCGUCUUCUGGAAGUUGGUUAGGAAUGGUGACUUAAGUCGACGAUCUUGACCUCCUUGAACUGCAGUGACCAUCUUAGCUGACUCAGUCUACAUUUGCUUGUUCUUGUUCCUCCUGUUGGUCCUCUUCUUAGUUCAUGUCGGGAUUGCUCUGAGACUUGUGUAGUCUUGUUCUUGAAGGAAAACAUCUCCUUCCUUCCCUUUAUGUAGAAACUGAUCUUGGCAGUACUAGCGUAGAUGUCAACUCCUGAGGUGUUCAGGAAUGGCCUCCAUAGGAUGAUGGGUGUCGUCUCAUCAGUACCAGUCUUUAUCACCACGAAGUCUGCUGGGGCGUACAAGGUACCAACUCGGACGCAGAGGUUCUUCAAUAUUCCCUCUGGGAAACUUAGCAUACGAUCUGCAAGCUACAAACACAUGGCUGUUUCUAAUAAAGGAUGUGUAAAGAAUUUUUCAUAGAGUACCCUGGGUAUAAUGUUGACGCUGGAGCCAAAGUCGCAGAGUGCUUCUGGGAAGUUCACCAUGCCGAUGGAGAUCAGGAUGACGGUGCGUCCUGGAUCGCCUCUUGACCGACAGAAGGUCAGUAAUUUCUUCCACAACGGGGUUACUCCAGUAGUUACGUCCCCAAGCAUCUCAGGGCAGUG